CUACGGGCGGCUCCAGUGGGGAAUAUUGCACAAUGGGGGAAACCCUGAUGCAGCAACGCCGCGUGAGUGAUGAAGGUCUUCGGAUUGUAAAGCUCUGUCUUUUGGGACGAUAAUGACGGUACCAAAGGAGGAAGCCACGGCUAACUACGUGCCAGCAGCCGCGGUAAUACGUAGGUGGCAAGCGUUGUCCGGAUUUACUGGGCGUAAAGGAUGCGUAGGUGGAUACUUAAGUCAGAUGUGAAAUCCCCGAGCUUAACUUGGGGGCUGCAUUUGAAACUGGGUAUCUGGAGUGCAGGAGAGGAAAGCGGAAUUCCUAGUGUAGCGGUGAAAUGCGUAGAGAUUAGGAAGAACACCAGUGGCGAAGGCGGCUUUCUGGACUGUAACUGACACUGAGGCAUGAAAGCGUGGGGAGCAAACAGGAUUAGAUACCCCCGUAGUC
This 439-nucleotide ribosomal RNA is filed under the name uncultured bacterium. Its description in RNAcentral is "partial 16S ribosomal RNA". It matches the Rfam family "Bacterial small subunit ribosomal RNA", at positions 339 to 795 of the family's 1533-position model. The record is from RNAcentral.